This 253-nucleotide ribosomal RNA is filed under the name uncultured prokaryote. Its description in RNAcentral is "partial 16S ribosomal RNA". It matches the Rfam family "Bacterial small subunit ribosomal RNA", at positions 524 to 776 of the family's 1533-position model. The record is from RNAcentral.
AACGUAGGAGGCGAGCGUUAUCCGGAUUUACUGGGUGUAAAGCGCGUGCAGGCGGUUCUGCAAGUGGGACGUGAAAGCGCCCGGCUCAACCGGGCGAGGACGUACCGAACUGCGGGACUAGAGGCAGGCAGAGGCGUGUGGAAUUCCGGGUGUAGUGGUGAAAUGCGUAGAGAUCCGGAGGAACACCAGUGGCGAAGGCGACACGCUGGGCCUGGCCUGACGCUCAGACGCGAAAGCAUGGGGAGCGAACGGG